RNAcentral lists this long non-coding RNA (202 nucleotides) under Brassica napus (rape). RNAcentral's name for it is "long non-coding RNA (BNAP_LNC025413)". The record is from RNAcentral. Lineage: Eukaryota; Viridiplantae; Streptophyta; Magnoliopsida; Brassicales; Brassicaceae.
UACGACGAAAUAGAGAGCAGUUACAAAGGCCCGUGUUUUUCAAUACGAGGAAAUUGCGAGGAAUCACAAAGGCCCGUGUUUUUAUAUACGAGGUAUUAACGAUGAUUUUGCUUACGUGGAAUUAACGAGCCUUGCUUUCCUAUAAAUAUACCCACAACUCUCAUUCUCAAACCACACACAAACUCUCAAAUCACACCCUAUC